Molecule: unclassified non-coding RNA, 378 nt
Filed under: plant metagenome
Description: partial contains 5.8S ribosomal RNA, internal transcribed spacer 2, and large subunit ribosomal RNA
Rfam family: 5.8S ribosomal RNA (bases 1-105)
Source: RNAcentral
GAAAUGCGAUAAGUAGUGUGAAUUGCAGAAUUUAGCGAAUCAUCGAAUCUUUGAACGCACAUUGCGCUCCUUGGUAUUCCUUGGAGCAUGCCUGUUUGAGUAUCAUGAAAUCUUCAAAGUAAAUCUUUUGUUAACUCAAUUGGUUUCUACUUUGGUAUUGGAGGUCUUUGCAGCUUCACACCUGCUCCUCUUUGUUCAUUAGCUGGAUCUCAGUGUUAUGCUUGGUUCCACUCGGCGUGAUAAGUUAUCUAUCGCUGAGGACACUGUAAAAGGUGGCCAAGGUAAAUGCAGAUGAACCGCUUCUAAUAGUCCAUUGACUUGGACAAUACUUUUAUGAUCUGAUCUCAAAUCAGGUAGGACUACCCGCUGAACUUAAGC